This is an RNA transcript of Tripterygium wilfordii, 2114 nucleotides long. It is a transcript of the gene named glycosyltransferase BC10, with no coding region annotated. The transcript has 3 exons. Lineage: Eukaryota; Viridiplantae; Streptophyta; Magnoliopsida; Celastrales; Celastraceae. The record is from RefSeq and is a predicted model, not a curated record.
ACUCACGAGUUGCGAGUCACGACUCCAUGAAUCUCCAGUCUCUCUUACUCGUCUCUCUGAAACCAACAAACCAAAUAUUCUUGAGCGACUUGAGAUUCACACUCAAUCUCCGACUAUAAUCACCAAAAUAGAAGAAAAUUAGCACCCAAUUUUCCCUCACUUUCUUUCACUUUCCAUUCCAAGAUAGAUCCUCCAAGUUUUCCUUCCCACCACCACCAUGUCCACAACCACCACUGUUGGCUGCUUCAAGAUUGGUGGCAUCACAUAAAGAUUCCCUCCUGCUCUUCCUCCUCCUCCACCUCCUCUUCCUCAAUGUUCUCCACCUCAUUCGUUCUCUCCUUCUUUCUCUUGCUUUCUGUACCGAUCCUCUUCUUGUUGGCCCCGCAUAUCCUUCCGCCUCGACAAACCUUCCCCAUCCCUGCCAAGGAUGAGUUCGACGAUCUGUUGCUCUUCCGCCGUGCCGCCUCCGAUUCCCACCAUUAUUCCCAUCUCUCCUCCCCCAACCCUAAGCUCAAGAUCGCUUUCCUCUUCCUUACCAAUUCCGAUCUCUACUUUGCCCCUUUGUGGGAGCGAUUCUUUCCUUCCAAUCGUGAUCUCUUCAAUGUCUACGUCCACGCCGACCCCUCUGUCAAUGUCACCCAUCCUCGGGGAGUAUUCGAGAAUCAGUUCAUCUCUGCGAAGCGGACUUUCCGGGCCUCCCCUACUCUUAUCUCCGCCACACGCCGCUUGAUUGCACAUGCCCUCAUCGACGAUCCCGCCAACGCAUUCUUUGCUGUCCUAUCGCAAUACUGCAUCCCCCUGCACUCAUUCCAUUACGUCUACGACUCAAUUAUCUCGUCGCGAUCCUUUGAUUCCUCCACCGACGAUUCCGACACCGGGUUGACUCAGUACGGGGUUCGCAUUAGGUAUAAGAGCUUUGUUGAGAUCAUCUCGAAGGAACCUCGUCUCUGGAAGCGCUACAUUGCCAGAGGGAGGUCAGCUUUGUUGCCGGAGGUGCCCUUCACUAAGUUUAGGGUAGGAUCUCAGUUCUUCGUUUUGACUCGCCGACACGCGCUCAUGGUAAUCAAAGAUAGAGCGCUUUGGAAGAAAUUCAAGCUGCCUUGUUACAGGGCAGAUGAGUGUUACCCGGAGGAGCACUAUUUUCCUACUCUGCUGUCAAUGCAGGAUCCAGAUGGAUGCACACAUUACACGUUGACUAGGGUUAAUUGGACGAGCACCACAAAUGGCCACCCCUACACUUACUCACCGGCUGAGGUAUCGCCGGAGUUGAUUCACCAACUUAGGAAAUCGAAUUAUUCGAGUUCUUACUUGUUUGCUAGAAAGUUUUCCCCUGAUUGCUUAAGACCGCUGUUGAAGAUGGCCGAUAAAGUCAUUUUCCAGGACUAAAAAUCUUUUCAGUCCUUUUAGGUUCCUGUGUUGUUGGGAAUGAUGAGAGAUUGGAUAAAGUUUAACUGAAGAUACAAUGUCUAUGGGCCAGUGCAGGACACACAUUUGUUUGCAUAACUUGAAAUUUGUCGGUAAGCGAUGCAUUGUGUGAUAGCCAAAUGGUGCUGUUUCUGAGGUAAUUGGUCCCAAUGAAUUUGACAUGCAAGUGCGAAUAAAGAUGUUGGUUUGGGAUGUGGGAGAGGGGAAUGGAAAGAGGAAUCCUUUGUGUGACUAAAUUUUGCUGGGGAUUAUGGUGUUGAAGAGGCGUAAAGUGCCCACAACCUAUCAAAACCCCAAAAAGAGGUUCACCUUGACAAGAGUCUUCGGACGCACAAGGAAGCAAAAGUAGUGGAAGCAAAGGCAUAUACUUUUGCUAAAGGUAUGGGUGUAACAAUACCAGAUGGCAGUAAUAGGGUUUUUGUCCUUCUGUUGCAUGCUAUGUACAUGUGUUAUGAAUGUGAAGCCAUGAAUGAAUAUACUUACAAGUGAACAAUGUACUAUCCGUGAGUUCCACCCGAGGGAAAAAAGAAAAAAUUGAAGCCAUCGGGGCUAAAUUUAGGCCCCAUACAUUUUUUGUUUCAAAGACUGGGAUCAAGAGCCGCACUUUUUGGCUGUACAUUGCCCUCUCCAUUUUUUUGCUUUCUUUGAUGUUCUUUUUUUCUUUCUUGCAACCAUUUUUUCACAUAAAA